Molecule: long non-coding RNA, 76 nt
Organism: Etheostoma cragini (Arkansas darter)
Lineage: Eukaryota; Metazoa; Chordata; Actinopteri; Perciformes; Percidae
Exons: 4
Source: RefSeq, a predicted model, not a curated record
UAGAGAAAGCAUGUUGGGUGGGCGAAACGCGUUUUUCUGCUAUAGCGCCACUUAGUGGUGGAAAUGGGUAAUUUUU